RNAcentral lists this long non-coding RNA (1240 nucleotides) under Marmota monax (woodchuck). Lineage: Eukaryota; Metazoa; Chordata; Mammalia; Rodentia; Sciuridae. The record is from RNAcentral.
CUUAUUUUCAUGAGUUAAAUAUGAGCUUAUAUAAAAAGCCACACUAAUAUUAACCUUUCUGUGUUUUCCCAUAUUUAUAAUUAGUUCAUCCUUAGGACAGUCUUAAUUUUCCUUUGUUCUAGAAAGACCCAGAAUCACUUAAGUUUUUGAAAUCAUGAUGGAUGGCAUAAAUAAUGCUAAUUCACAAAAAUGAGUGACAUACUAUUAUUUUCAAGUUUUUACCUAAUUUAAAACAUUCUCUUCUACUGCUUCUGUGAUUUUAAAAUCUCUCUUCGACAUUUAGUUAUUUGUAGAAUAAACUGCAUGGAUUUUAGGUAAAAACCACUUUUGAUAUUUUUCAUAUAAACGUAUCUUCACUUAAUUAGGGAAGCCAGAAUUUAAUUAAUUCUACUAGCUGAACUUUCACACAAACUUUUGCUCUUUAUAAUUCUCAUACAGUAAUACCAUUAUUAAAGACAUAAUGAAGAUUUUCUUUAACUAUGCAUGCUUUAUUUCCAUGUAUUAUUUUUCUCUUUAAAAUAAGUCUGCUUAAAAUGUGGUCUAUAGAAACUUUAUGACAAAAUCAAUGACCACUUGCUUGCUAACAAAUUUGUAAGUGAACAAGCUAUUAUUCUUUCAAUGUGACUGAUGUUAAAGUGUUUUGAAUAUCUAUUGGUAUAUUAUCUAGAACUAUUAUUGCCAUAUCCUUAGAGUAUCUUUAAGAUAAUGCUGCCUAUUAUGGACAGUAAAUUAUUGAGGCUUUUUAAAAUUUUCUGCAAUAUAUAGAAAGUAAGGUUUAAUGUAUAUAAAGAUUUUUCAAUGGAGUUUUGAAUCUAUUUAAUGUGUUCAUUCUUCCCAUGCCAUAUAUGUCUUCAAAGAAGACUGUAUUAAUAUACUAUGCAAAAAUCUAAUUUUCUUCUUAUAAAAAUUAGAGCUCUGGUAUAAUUUUAGGUUUUUCAGGCCUCCAAGAUUAAAAAAAAUUAAAAUGUGAAAUGGAACUAUUUUGGUGGAGGGUGUGGGGCAAGAUACUUGAACAGGGCCAACAAAUGUGAAGAUGAGUAACACUUGAUUUUAAUAAUUCCUCUGUGUGCUAGAUUUAUGGUACAUUAUUAAUCAUUUUGUUAAUCAAAGCCCAUCUUAUAUUGUAACAUUUAAAAUUUGAAUAUAUGUAGGAUAUAAAUGUCUUUGGACAUUUCUCAUAAACCAUACUUAAUUUUUAUUUUGUGUGUAAUGUAAAUUUCAACAGUUACUUUUUAAAUUU